CGGAAGUGCCUGCGCGCGGGGCCCGCCGGGAUUAGGCACCGCCUGUAGUUGGGCCGUCGGUUGUUGUCUCGUCAGCCACCGUGAGGGGUCAACGCGAGGUCGGUGGGGUUAGCAACGCGUCGGCGGCGGCUCCAAGGUCUGAGCAGCAGGCUAGGAGGACCACUGAUGAAGCGGGUAGGAGGCCGAUGUCCCCGGAACACACGUUGACAUCUCUCAGGGUGCCAGGGCAGAAUGUACACGCUGCUUUCGGGGCUGUACAAGUACAUGUUCCAGAAGGAUGAAUACUGCAUUCUGAUCCUGGGCCUGGACAAUGCUGGGAAGACGACCUUCCUGGAACAGUCAAAAACACGGUUUAACAAGAACUACAAGGGGAUGAGUCUAUCCAAAAUCACCACUACCGUGGGUCUAAACAUUGGCACAGUGGACGUGGGAAAGGCUCGUCUCAUGUUUUGGGACUUAGGUGGGCAAGAAGAGCUGCAGUCUUUAUGGGACAAGUACUAUGCAGAGUGCCAUGGUGUCAUCUAUGUCAUUGAUUCCACUGAUGAAGAGAGAUUGUCAGAAUCCAAAGAAGCAUUUGAGCCUGCAGUCGUGAACAGGAUACAGGGUGCAAGGCACCACCUCUCCUGCUUUCCUCAGAGAAGGUGGUUUCGAGUGAAGCAUUGGACGGUGUCCCCAUCCUGGUGUUGGCCAACAAGCAGGAUGUGGAGAGUCUCACCUCCCCUGCCAGACCUGCCUCUCCAUUCCUGACAUCAAGACUGCAUUCAGUGACUGUACCUGCAAGAUUGGCCGGCGAGACUGUCUGACCCAGGCCUGUUCUGCCCUCACAGGCAAAGGAGUUCGAGAGGGCAUCGAAUGGAUGGUGAAGUGUGUCGUGCGGAAUGUUCACCGACCACCACGGCAGAGGGACAUCACAUAAGCAUCUCCAACUUUACAGUCUUGGACUGUUCAUCAUCCCUAGUGUUGGAAAAGUACUCUCUGCUGGCUUCUGCCCUACUGAUGCUGGGUGUUGAGCUGGUUUUCUCUGUUCAUUCUUUUAUUUGCUUUAUGUUUUCUCUAAGACAAACUUUGCUCUGAAUCUGGAAAAGUGUAGGUAUUCAGAGACAAACAUGGGGCAUGCCAACCAUCCAGCUCUUCACGCCCUACACAUACAUACCCACCCUACCCCCACCCCAUCAUGGCCUCUCAUCUAGAGUCCUGCCCGACAGGUUAGGGUCUAGAACCCUUCCAACCUAGUGAGGAGGGAGAGGAGGGAGGCCACCCCGAGGCUUGCCCGCUAGCGCAUUCCAAAGUGGAAUUUGAGAUCAUUCUACGUGAAAUGCUCUGUCUUUGGCAGCUGCUUUGUCUAGCUUGUCCAUGGAGAAGGUGGGAAUGGCCAGGGCUAAUCUCACUUGGAGAAAGACCUAGCCUACAUCCCAGAGGCCAGCAUGGCCCCUAGUUGUUUUUUUUGGAUUUGGGUGUAUGGGAGAGACAAGCUUUCUCUGUAGCCCCAGUUGACCUGGAACCCUCUGCCUUCUUCCCUGUGCCACACCCAGCUUUUCCACUGGGUUUUGAUAUAAUCUCAGAACAGGGUUCAGCAGACCCUUCUGGGAAGCCUGACUUACCUUACUUAUGAACCCAUUCUCAGUCAGCUUUUAUCUCCAAAGGAGACAGCUGAUGUAGAAAUGCUUGUAGUCCACAUCUUGCUGAGUGUGCAUGUCAGUGCACCCUUACACAGGUUGUGUGGUAUCCUGAGGGCACAGCUUUCACUAGGUCAGGUGUUGCUAUAGCUAGUGCAAGUGGGCAUCAUAUGCUUUGAGUUAGGUGGGCUGGGUCCCUACAGGGUCCAGGUCAGUGAAGUUCUGAGUUUGCAUCUCCAGAUGGGUAUGAGGUAUGGGUUUCUAGUGAGCAGCAGCCAUGCUGGGGCUGACCAUGCCCACUAGGCCUGCUUGGUUAAAUUCUUCAUCAUGUGGCCAGGACAAGGUUGUAAAAUAAAGAGCUGAGGUGGUUUCUGUCCAACCAUCCCUUCAAGCAGUUAAAUCCUAGUUCCCCGCUAUCUGGGUUGGUGGUUGUAACCAGAAACUGCUAUUCUGGAGUGCCUUAUGAGCACUCCAGGAGCCCUCGGGGAGGUUUGGAACUGUGACUAAGCUGCAGUCCAAGUUCAGUUCAACCUCCCCAGGAGGACCUGGGAAGGAUGACUGAGAAGUUAUGAAUCAGGGGGUUGAGUACUCUGAUUCGUGGAGAAUUCCCACAGAUCUGUGAUUAUCAGCUGGUUUGAGUUUUUCCUAGUGGAUCUUCCUGGAAAUUAAAGAGUAGGUUGUUCACAAAGUGGCCAAACUCAGGGGAAGUCCUCUAUCAUGGGGCACCAGAUAUCACAGGGGUCUUUCUGCCCACCGUUGCCCAGUUUUGUCAAUGCUGAGGAAGACAAGGGACUUUAUUUAGUGACUUUUGUCACACCUUAUGGUGGUCAUCCAAGUGUUGUGGAACUUGCUGGCUUGGGAGCAUAGUGGGACAAAGCUUCUUACUCAGGUUGCUUAUUUGCUUGUGCAGAGCCACAACUUGAGAAUAAUUGUGUUUCUGAAGUAUAAGGUUAGAGUGACAUUGAUUGGGAGUGUAGAAUAAAGUCCUGUGUGCAGUAAA
RNA transcript from Meriones unguiculatus (Mongolian gerbil), 2616 nucleotides. It is a transcript of the gene named ADP ribosylation factor related protein 1, with no coding region annotated. The record is from RefSeq and is a predicted model, not a curated record. Lineage: Eukaryota; Metazoa; Chordata; Mammalia; Rodentia; Muridae. The transcript is spliced from 8 exons.